GAGUUUGAACCUGGCUCAGGAUGAACGCUGGCGGCGUGCUUAACACAUGCAAGUCGAACGGGGAUGCCAUUUUUGAAGCGAUUAGCUUGCUGAGAGUGGAAAUGUUGGCAUCUUAGUGGCGGACGGGUGAGUAACGCGUGGGGAACCUGCCCUGUACAGGGGGAUAACACUUAGAAAUAGGUGCUAAUACCGCAUAAGCGCACAGUAUCGCAUGAUACAGUGUGAAAAACUCCGGUGGUACAGGAUGGACCCGCGUCUGAUUAGCUGGUUGGCGGGGUAACGGCCCACCAAGGCGACGAUCAGUAGCCGGCCUGAGAGGGUGAACGGCCACAUUGGGACUGAGACACGGCCCAAACUCCUACGGGAGGCAGCAGUGGGGAAUAUUGGACAAUGGGGGGAACCCUGAUCCAGCGACGCCGCGUGAGUGAAGAAGUAUUUCGGUAUGUAAAGCUCUAUCAGCAGGGAAGAAAAUGACGGUACCUGACUAAGAAGCCCCGGCUAACUACGUGCCAGCAGCCGCGGUAAUACGUAGGGGGCAAGCGUUAUCCGGAUUUACUGGGUGUAAAGGGAGCGUAGACGGUGCAGCAAGUCUGAUGUGAAAGGUCGGGGCCCAACCCCGGGACUGCAUUGGAAACUGUUGAACUGGAGUACAGGAGAGGUAAGCGGAAUUCCUAGUGUAGCGGUGAAAUGCGUAGAUAUUAGGAGGAACACCAGUGGCGAAGGCGGCUUACUGGACU
Molecule: ribosomal RNA, 737 nt
Filed under: uncultured bacterium
Lineage: Bacteria
Description: bacterial SSU rRNA
Rfam family: Bacterial small subunit ribosomal RNA
Source: RNAcentral